CUUGCUUAGUUUCUCAUUCUCACAUACACACCACAGAAACACACGUGUAUAGCCACUGCCUGCUAAAGAGGUAGCCUGAUACCCCACAACUUGGUGACCAGAUCCAAGCCUGUAAUUGAGAGCCAUGCAUCACGUUGGGCUACAGUGUCUCUGUUAUGUGGACCCACACAUGACAGAUAGAACUUGCACUCCAGCACGUUUCCCUCUGUGGUGUCGUCUUCGCCUCCUCCAUGCGCUAUAGAGUGCAGCCGCUCCACUAAACCUUGAAAAAUGCUCCACCGGGAUAGAAGCCGUUUUUGCCAGGAUCCAUGCACUGCAGUUCCUCUUUUGGACCAUGGGUGGCGCCUUGCACCUUGUAUCUCCCUCUCCCCCUCUUCUCGCCAGCAAUCAGCAUCGCCUGUGCCGUGCACCUGUCUUCAAGCACCACUGAUUACUGCCUGCAUUUAAGCCUGUCAAGUCCAGCAAGCCUUCGCCUGAGUGUUGACACUGUGACUCACUGGCCGAUUGUACCUUCUGUACCUUCCCCGCCUCGCUGCCUGCUCCAGCGAUGCCGCCAAGCCACACCACUUGCUCAUGGCUAACCUGCAAUAAAUCAUUCUAAAUCUACUCCCUC
This is a long non-coding RNA of Phyllopteryx taeniolatus (common seadragon), 613 nucleotides long. RefSeq lists it as uncharacterized. The record is from RefSeq and is a predicted model, not a curated record. The transcript is spliced from 4 exons. NCBI's taxonomy places the organism in Eukaryota, Metazoa, Chordata, Actinopteri, Syngnathiformes, Syngnathidae.